Micropterus salmoides (largemouth bass) is the source of this 298-nucleotide long non-coding RNA. RefSeq lists it as uncharacterized. The record is from RefSeq and is a predicted model, not a curated record. Lineage: Eukaryota; Metazoa; Chordata; Actinopteri; Centrarchiformes; Centrarchidae. The transcript is spliced from 2 exons.
GUCAUUAAGAAAACAGAUUUGAAUUAAAUUGGACGGAGUCACGGGUUUUAAACUAGCAUCAAACGUUCCUAAGGUCAUUAAGUAAACAGAUUUGAAUGAAACUGGAUGGAGUCACAGACUUCAAACUACAGUCAAACGAUCCUAAGGUAACCUGAUGAUUUUUAAUAUUGAUCAAGUUCUGUAAGUUUCGUAGACAUCUCAAGUGUGUUGCUACAUUUCACUCACACUUGAUAACCUCUACUCUUCGUAGAAUGUCUUCACCAUACUGCAUAUAAAAAUAUUUCAAUGUAAAGCUUAA